This 1729-nucleotide long non-coding RNA is filed under the name Coturnix japonica (Japanese quail). RNAcentral's name for it is "lncRNA (ENSCJPG00005010456.1)". The record is from RNAcentral. Lineage: Eukaryota; Metazoa; Chordata; Aves; Galliformes; Phasianidae.
UAACUGUGCCUCUGUGGGUUAUGUUUCUUCUGGCCCAAAGAACUUGCUUCCAAAGCUGAACCGUGAGGCUUUGUAUUUUGGGCCUGUUUUCAUGGGGUGUGUGCCCAACAUGGUGGUAGGUCCAAGAAAUCCACUCUAAAGGACAAGGCAUACACAGAGGAGUGUGGAUAAAAGACGUAUCACUGUCCUGACCGUAGUUUUAAGACUGUUUAAGAGGGUGAAACCCAUCUGUCCCCUUCUUGCCUUGUCUUCUAUCACAUAAUAUCGAGCUGCUGAGGGCCACUAUGACCUGAGCAUUCACUGCAAGACGGGGAGAGGAAAAAGGAGCAAGAUACAGCAUCUCUGAGCUUCAAAAGUAGAGGUGGAGAAGUGGAGAUUUGCCUCCUGCCUUUCCUAGCCCAGCCCUGACCACUCCACUUCAGUCUGGAUCACAGUAGCAGAUGAGACUCGAGUUUGAAGCCUUGUGAAGUGUCCUCACAUACUGAAGUUCCUCAGGGGGCAAGUUGAACAGGAUAGAUGCUAGCUCUGAUGGUGCAUCCAUUAGUGGUGGGAAAUGGGUCUUAUUGUCCUGACCUGCAAAUGUAGGACUGUACCAGGCAUAACCAAAAGGGUUUUUUGUCUUUAUUUGCAGGAGCUCUGUUUUUCCAACUCUGUGUGCUAUUGAUUUGGUGUAUGGAUGCACUAGUGAAAGGGAGCUGACAGCUUUACUUUCUAUACCCUGAUGCUUGCUUCCAAAGGCUCAUCUGAACUUCCCUCAGUAUCCAGAAUGACUUAGCUAAAAUGAUAACAAAGACAGACAUGCAGGCAUCUGCAGUCUGAUACAGCUCUGGCUGUGCCAGCCCAAAACCACAUUGCUGUCUUAGACAUGAAAUGGAUUACGGGCACGUUGUGUGCUUUACAUCUUUUUUUUUCAGAACAUUUGGAACGGCAGAGGGAGUGCAAGAGCAAGGAAAAAGAAGUGAACACACUGAAUGUAAGAAGUUUGGUCCCCCAGGUGAAUAAAACAACUGCACGGAACAGAAGCCAAGUGCCACAUCAACAUGUUUCUUGAACACCUCCUGGAAUGGGGACCCUACCACCUCCCUGGGCAGCCUGUUUCAAUACCUCACCACUCUUUCUGAGAAGAAAUGUUUCCUAAUACCCAGCCUGAACCUCCCCUGGCACAACCUGAGGCCGUUGCCUCUCAUCCUGUCACUUGUUAUCUGGCAGAAGAGGCUGACUCCAGUCAUCUUUUGUAGAGGGAAGACUCAGCAUCCUCUCUCUAGCAGGCUCUAGGUCCUUAAACAUUAGGUAAACAAGCAGUGUCUAGGAGCAGACUUGAGCACUGGAAUUUGUCUAUCCACCCUGGUUAAUUCAUAGGGUGUGUCCUGAAUAGUUCUGGUCUGGGGCACACAGCACAGUCCUUUGGCAUAUACUGGGACUCCCCUUGAUGGAGUCCAGCUAAUCCAGUCAUGCUUGAUUUACUUGGACACACAUACCUUGGAGAGAUGGCUUGGACUUCAGCAGCCAUUGUGUGGUCCACAGAUUGUCUGGGCACCUGGUACACUAUUGAAGGUGUCCUGGUAUCCUUAUGUAUUACCAGGUAGGCAAGUGGACACCAAAUGGGAUGUAGCCCAUUAAGCUACAACUAAGCCCUCCUAGCUCAGAAUCCAGACUGAAAGUGCUUCAUACAGGUCAGAUAGAAAUCAGCAUUGCUACACAUACACACAAAAGGUAAAAACACAUAAGA